Spinacia oleracea (spinach) is the source of this 85-nucleotide non-coding RNA. The record is from Rfam. Lineage: Eukaryota; Viridiplantae; Streptophyta; Magnoliopsida; Caryophyllales; Amaranthaceae.
UUAUACAGAUGAUGAGAAAAUUAGAAUUACUUCAGUUAUCCCUGUCUGAUGCUUCUGUGCUGAUCCUUCAUGCUCUAAUGUAUAC